GCACUGGUAGCUCAACUGGAUAGAGCAUCUGACUACGAAUCAGAAGGUUGCAGGUUCGAAUCCUGCUCGGUGCACCA
Molecule: transfer RNA, 77 nt
Filed under: Kiritimatiellota bacterium B12222
Lineage: Bacteria; Pseudomonadati; Kiritimatiellota
Description: tRNA-Arg
Rfam family: tRNA
About the family: Transfer RNA (tRNA) molecules are approximately 80 nucleotides in length. Their secondary structure includes four short double-helical elements and three loops (D, anti-codon, and T loops).
Source: RNAcentral